GCCCACUUAGCUCAGUUGGUAGAGCAACUCCAUGGUAAGGAGUAGGUCUGCAGUUCAAUUCUGCAAGUGGGCUCCA
RNAcentral lists this transfer RNA (76 nucleotides) under bacterium. RNAcentral describes it as "tRNA-Thr". It matches the Rfam family "tRNA". From Rfam's summary of the family: Transfer RNA (tRNA) molecules are approximately 80 nucleotides in length. Their secondary structure includes four short double-helical elements and three loops (D, anti-codon, and T loops). Further hydrogen bonds mediate the characteristic L-shaped molecular structure. tRNAs have two regions of fundamental functional importance: the anti-codon, which is responsible for specific mRNA codon recognition, and the 3' end, to which the tRNAs corresponding amino acid is attached (by aminoacyl-tRNA synthetases). tRNAs cope with the degeneracy of the genetic code in two manners: having more than one tRNA (with a specific anti-codon) for a particular amino acid; and 'wobble' base-pairing, i.e. permitting non-standard base-pairing at the 3rd anti-codon position. The record is from RNAcentral. RNAcentral also lists the same sequence under 1 other name.